This 434-nucleotide ribosomal RNA is filed under the name uncultured bacterium. RNAcentral's name for it is "partial 16S ribosomal RNA". It matches the Rfam family "Bacterial small subunit ribosomal RNA", at positions 29 to 507 of the family's 1533-position model. The record is from RNAcentral.
AGCGAACGCUGGCGGCAGGCCUAACACAUGCAAGUCGAACGAACCUUUCGGGGUUAGUGGCGGACGGGUGAGUAACACGUGGGAACGUGCCUUUAGGUUCGGAAUAACUCAGGGAAACUUGUGCUAAUACCGAAUGUGCCCUUCGGGGGAAAGAUUAAUCGCCUUUAGAGCGGCCCGCGUCUGAUUAGCUAGUUGGUUGAGGUAAUGGCUAACCAAGGCGACGAUCAGUAGCUGGUCUGAGAGGAUGAUCAGCCACAUUGGGACUGAGACACGGCCCAAACUCCUACGGGAGGCAGCAGUGGGGAAUCUUGCGCAAUGGGCGAAAGCCUGACGCAGCCAUGCCGCGUGAAUGAUGAAGGUCUUAGGAUUGUAAAAUUCUUUCACCGGGGACGAUAAUGACGGUACCCGGAGAAGAAGCCCCGGCUAACUUCGUG